This 465-nucleotide ribosomal RNA is filed under the name Vreelandella stevensii. Its description in RNAcentral is "partial 16S ribosomal RNA". It matches the Rfam family "Bacterial small subunit ribosomal RNA", at positions 338 to 795 of the family's 1533-position model. Lineage: Bacteria; Pseudomonadati; Pseudomonadota; Gammaproteobacteria; Oceanospirillales; Halomonadaceae. The record is from RNAcentral.
CCUACGGGGGGCAGCAGUGGGGAAUAUUGGACAAUGGGGGGAACCCUGAUCCAGCCAUGCCGCGUGUGUGAAGAAGGCCCUCGGGUUGUAAAGCACUUUCAGUGAGGAAGAACGCCUGGUGGUUAAUACCCAUCAGGAAAGACAUCACUCACAGAAGAAGCACCGGCUAACUCCGUGCCAGCAGCCGCGGUAAUACGGAGGGUGCGAGCGUUAAUCGGAAUUACUGGGCGUAAAGCGCGCGUAGGUGGCUUGAUAAGCCGGUUGUGAAAGCCCCGGGCUCAACCUGGGAACGGCAUCCGGAACUGUCAAGCUAGGGUGCAGGAGAGGAAGGUAGAAUUCCCGGUGUAGCGGUGAAAUGCGUAGAGAUCGGGAGGAAUACCAGUGGCGAAGGCGGCCUUCUGGACUGACACUGACACUGAGGUGCGAAAGCGUGGGUAGCAAACAGGAUUAGAUACCCUAGUAGUC